RNAcentral lists this ribosomal RNA (478 nucleotides) under Bacteroidetes bacterium oral taxon 281. RNAcentral describes it as "bacterial SSU rRNA". It matches the Rfam family "Bacterial small subunit ribosomal RNA", at positions 28 to 500 of the family's 1533-position model. The record is from RNAcentral. Lineage: Bacteria; Pseudomonadati; Bacteroidota.
GAUGAACGCUAGCGGCAGGCUAACACAUGCAAGUCGAGGGGCAACGAGAUGGUAGCAAUACCAUUGUCGGCGACCGGCGAACGGGUGCGUAACGCGUGAACAACUUGCCGGACACAGGGGGAUAAUCGUCGGAAACGUCGUCUGAUAUCCCAUAACAUUGGCAUGGGCAUCCAUGUUGAUUGAAAGCAUUUAUCGGUGUCUGAUAGGUUGCGUGACAUUAGCUAGUCGGUGGGGCAACGGCCCACCGAGGCGACAUGUCUGGGGGUUCUGAGAGGAAGGCCCCCCACACUGGGACUGAGACACGGCCCAGACUCCUACGGGAGGCAGCAGUGAGGGAUAUUGGACAAUGGGCGGAAGCCUGAUCCAGCCAUGCCGCGUGAAGGAAUAAGGUCCUAUGGGUCGUAAACUUCUUUUGACGCAGAGCAAUAAGGGACACGUGUGUUCCGAUGAGAGUAUGCGUCGAAUAAGCAUCGGCUAA